Long non-coding RNA from Homalodisca vitripennis (glassy-winged sharpshooter), 739 nucleotides. RefSeq lists it as uncharacterized. Lineage: Eukaryota; Metazoa; Arthropoda; Insecta; Hemiptera; Cicadellidae. The transcript is spliced from 3 exons. The record is from RefSeq and is a predicted model, not a curated record.
UGUGUACAAUGUGUUUCAGCUGUAUAUCUGUGCUGCAAUGUGAUACAAAUAGUCUGUGCUUCUCCUACCUAUGGUGCUGGGUUUAGUGCUGAAGAUCAUGCCAAGGAAGAGAGAGAACAUGGAGAUGGCGGUGAUGUCGUCAAGACUGCAGGCAGCCAGAACCAGGGUUGGGAUACCUUUGUCUUCACCAUAGCCUCGCUCCUUAAGGUCCAGUAGAGUGGGCACCACGACAGCCGGCAGUCAAGAGAACUUACCCCAAGACAAGUGCCCAGAGCCAUGGCCAGCCCAGCAGGAAGACAGCAAUAAGAGCGAUGGUGAUAGCCUCUAUCGUACAUGGACACAUGCCCAGUCUCACCACAACUAAGGACAACUUGAUCAAGGUGGCAGGGUCCAGUCCUAGUCCUGCCUUGAUCAAGAUCACAGUCAUAGCUGUCUGUCUGGAGCAUCACAGUGUAAACAUGUAGAUCGUACAAGUUGAGCAAAGAAACAGAUCAAGGAUUGUUAGUAUCAUUUAGAUGAAUACAAAAAUUAAGAUCCAAAGAUACAAUGAAGCAUACAAUGUCUGAGAAUAUGGGAAAGAGGGACAGAGUAUGUACAAAAAGGUAUAGCAAAAAAUUAAGAGUUAAACAAAAGAAAAAGGUAAGACAGAAGAUAGUAUACAGAGAUUCAUAGAAUAGCAUCAUUUUACAGAUUUAAAAAAUGGAAUCUGAAAAAUUACAAUAAAAUUUUGGAAUAUAAA